This 262-nucleotide ribosomal RNA is filed under the name uncultured bacterium. Its description in RNAcentral is "partial 16S ribosomal RNA". It matches the Rfam family "Bacterial small subunit ribosomal RNA", at positions 509 to 770 of the family's 1533-position model. The record is from RNAcentral.
CAGCAGCCGCGGUAAUACGUAGGGUGCGAGCGUUAAUCGGAAUUACUGGGCGUAAAGCGCACGUAGGCGGACCUGAAAGUUGGGGGUGAAAUCCCGGGGCUCAACCUCGGAACUGCCUUCAAAACUACGGGUCUGGAGUUCGAGAGAGGUGAGUGGAAUUCCGAGUGUAGAGGUGAAAUUCGUAGAUAUUCGGAGGAACACCAGUGGCGAAGGCGGCUCACUGGCUCGAUACUGACGCUGAGGUGCGAAAGCGUGGGGAGCA